UGAUCGAGCGAUUGGUACGCGCGUCCCGGUGACCACCGGGAAGGUCGUGGGUUCGAAUCCCAUCGGCUCCACCA
Molecule: transfer RNA, 74 nt
Filed under: Acidobacteriota bacterium
Lineage: Bacteria; Pseudomonadati; Acidobacteriota
Description: Acidobacteria bacterium tRNA-OTHER
Source: RNAcentral